Ribosomal RNA from Phytophthora infestans T30-4, 73 nucleotides. The record is from RefSeq and is a predicted model, not a curated record. NCBI's taxonomy places the organism in Eukaryota, Oomycota, Peronosporomycetes, Peronosporales, Peronosporaceae.
ACGCCUCUAAGUCAGAAUCCAUGCUGGAAUAGACGAUAAUCACCUUUCCCGAUGUGCCGCGAAUAGCGAUAGG